RNAcentral lists this ribosomal RNA (300 nucleotides) under uncultured bacterium. RNAcentral describes it as "bacterial SSU rRNA". It matches the Rfam family "Bacterial small subunit ribosomal RNA", at positions 334 to 651 of the family's 1533-position model. The record is from RNAcentral.
UUGUCCUACGGGGCGCAGCAGUGGGGAAUAUUGCACAAUGGGGGAAACCCUGAUGCAGCGACGCCGCGUGAGUGAAGAAGUAAUUCGUUAUGUAAAGCUCUAUCAGCAGGGAAGAAAAUGACGGUACCUGAGUAAGAAGCCCCGGCUAACUACGUGCCAGCAGCCGCGGUAAUACGUAGGGGGCAAGCGUUAUCCGGAUUUACUGGGUGUAAAGGGAGCGUAGACGGCAGUGCAAGUCUGGAGUGAAAGCCCGGGGCUCAACCCCGGGACUGCAUUUGGAACUGCGUGGCUUGAGUGUCG